Molecule: ribosomal RNA, 1913 nt
Filed under: human gut metagenome
Description: bacterial LSU rRNA
Rfam family: Bacterial large subunit ribosomal RNA
Source: RNAcentral
UCAAGCUAUAAAGAGCGCAAGGGGAAUGCCUUGGCAUCAGGAGCCGACGAAGGACGUGACAAGCUGCGAUAAGCUUCGGGGAGGAGCAAAUAUCCUGUGAUCCGGAGAUUUCCGAAUGGGGAAACCCACUGGAGCAAUACUCCAGUAACGUGCAUUGAACAAAAUAGGUGUACGUGGGGAACCGCCUGAACUGAAACAUCUAAGUAGGGCGAGGAAAAGACAUCAACCGAGAUUCCGUAAGUAGUGGCGAGCGAACACGGAGGAGGCCAAACCGGAGGAUUUAUUCUCCGGGGUUAGGACUUGCAUCACGAUCAGAAGAAUCUAACAGAACGGCAUGGGAAGGCCGGCCACAGAGGGUGAGAGCCCCGUACGUGAAAGAGGAAGCUGACAGCGAGUAUCCAGAGUACCGCGGGACACGUGAAACCCCGCGGGAAAACGGGUGGACCACCAUCCAAGCCUAAAUACUACCUGAUGACCGAUAGAGGAGCAGUACCGUGAGGGAAAGGUGAAAAGGACCCCGGGAGGGGAGUGAAAGAGAACCUGAAACCUUGUGCUUACAAGCACUCAAAGCACGUUAAAGUGUGAUGAGGUACUUUUUGUAGAACGGUCCGGCGAGUUAUAGUAACGAGCAAGCUUAAGGUAUUCAGUACCGGAGGCGAAGCGAGAGCGAGUCUGAAUAGGGCGCAUAAAGUUCGUUGCCAUAGACCCGAAACCGGGUGACCUAACCAUGAGCAGGCUGAAGUGAGAGUAAAAUCUCAUGGAGGGCCGAACGCACGUUCGUUGCAAUGACCGGCGAUGACUUGUGGUUAGCGGAGAAAUUCCAAUCGAACUCGGAGAUAGCUGGUUCUCCCCGAAAUAGCUUUAGGGCUAGCGUUAUCUUAGAUUACCGGAGGUAAAGCACUGAAUGGGCUAGGGGGCGAUAAGCUUACUGAACCCUAUCAAACUCUGAAUGCCGGAUAAUUGAUGGAUAGCAGUCAGACAGUGUGAGAUAAGUUUCAUUGUCAAAAGGGAAACAGCCCAGACCCACAGCUAAGGUCCCAAAUGUAUGCUAAGUGGAAAACGAUGUGGAGUUGCGAAAACAACCAGGAUGUUGGCUUAGAAGCAGCCACUCAUUAAAAGAGUGCGUAAUAGCUCACUGGUCGAGUGACUCUGCGCGGAAAAUGUAACGGGGCUAAGUAUACAACCGAAGCUUGGGAUUGUCUAAAGACAGUGGUAGGGGAGCGUCGUGUAUGGGGUGAAGUCGCAUCGGAAGGAGCGGUGGACUGUACACGAGUGAGAAUGCCGGAAUGAGUAGCGAGAAUUAUGUGGGAAUCAUAAUGGCCGAAAAUCUAAGGUUUCUUGGGGAAGGUUCGUCCGCCCAAGGUAAGCCGGGAGCUAAGGCGAGGCCGAAAGGCGUAGUCGAUGCACAUACGGUUGAAAUUCCGUAGCCGCCGAAAUUGUUAAGCACAGGGACACAUAGAGAUAUCCGAACCCGGGCGUUGGUUGACCCGGGCGCAAGGGACCGAACAUCAGUAGGGAAGUCGGAGAUGCUCUGUGGCGAGAAAAGCUGUGUGUAUUGAUUAGGCGCCCGUACCGCAAACCGACACAGGUAGAUGAGGAGAGAAUCCUAAGGCCAACGGGAGAAGGGUUGUUAAGGAACUCGGCAAAUUGACCCCGUAACUUCGGGAUAAGGGGAGCCUCCUACGGGAGGCCGCAGUGAAUAGGCCCAAGCAACUGUUUACCAAAAACACAGGUCUCUGCUAAAUCGAAAGAUGACGUAUAGGGGCUGACGCCUGCCCGGUGCCGGAAGGUUAAGAGGAGAGCUUAGCGCAAGCGAAGGUUCGAAUUGAAGCCCCGGUAAACGGCGGCCGUAACUAUAACGGUCCUAAGGUAGCGAAAUUCCUUGUCAGGUAAGUUCUGACCCGCACGAAUGG